GCAGUGGUGGUUCAGUGGUAGAAUUUUCACUUUCCAUGUGGGAGACCUGGGUUCAAUCCCCAACCUCAUUU
Molecule: transfer RNA, 71 nt
Filed under: Loxodonta africana (African savanna elephant)
Lineage: Eukaryota; Metazoa; Chordata; Mammalia; Proboscidea; Elephantidae
Rfam family: tRNA
About the family: Transfer RNA (tRNA) molecules are approximately 80 nucleotides in length. Their secondary structure includes four short double-helical elements and three loops (D, anti-codon, and T loops).
Source: Rfam by way of RNAcentral